AUGAUACGUCCUGGAGCUCAGGAAGGAGUUGUAGAACAGACUAUCACUAUAAAACACAUGAUAUGUCCUGGAGCUCAGGAAGGAGUUGUAGAACAGACUAUCACUAUAAAACACAUGAUAUGUCCUGGAGCUCAGGAAGGAGUUGUAGAACAGACUAUCACUAUAAAACACAUGAUAUGUCCUGGAGCUCAGGAAGGAGUUGUAGAACAGACUAUCACUAUAAAACACAUGAUAUGUCCUGGAGCUCAGGAAGGAGUUGUAGUCAGACAGACUAUCACUAUAAAACACAUGAUAUGUCCUGGAGCUCAGGAAGGAGUUGUAGAACAGACUAUCACUAUAAAACACAUGAUAUGUCCUGGAGCUCAGGAAGGAGUUGUAGAACAGACUAUCACUAUAAAACACAUGAUAUGUCCUGGAGCUCAGGAAGGAGUUGUAGAACAGACUAUCACUAUAAAACACAUGAUAUGUCCUGGAGCUCAGGAAGGAGUUGUAGAACAGACUAUCACUAUUAAACACAUGAUAUGUCCUGGAGCUCAGGAAGGAGUUGUAGUCAGACAGACUAUCACUAUAAAACACAUGAUAUGUCCUGGAGCUCAGGAAGGAGUUGUAGUCAGACAGACUAUCACUAUAAAACACAUGAUACGUCCUGGAGCUCAGGAAGGAGUUGUAGUCAGACAGACUAUCACUAUAAAACACAUGAUAUGUCCUGGAGCUCAGGAAGGAGUUGUAGUCAGACAGACUAUCACUAUAAAACACAUGAUAUGUCCUGGAGCUCAGGAAGGAGUUGUAGUCAGACAGACUAUCACUAUAAAACACAUGAUAUGUCCUGGAGCUCAGGAAGGAGUUGUAGAACAGACUAUCACUAUAAAACACAUGAUAUGUCCUGGAGCUCAGGAAGGAGUUGUAGAACAGACUAUCACUAUUAAACACAUGAUAUGUCCUGGAGCUCAGGAAGGAGUUGUAGAACAGACUUUCACUAUAAAACACAUGAUACGUCCUGGAGCUCAGGAAGGAGUUGUAGAACAGACAGACUAUCACUAUUAA
RNAcentral lists this long non-coding RNA (1044 nucleotides) under Oncorhynchus mykiss (rainbow trout). Its description in RNAcentral is "lncRNA (ENSOMYG00000053998.1)". The record is from RNAcentral. Lineage: Eukaryota; Metazoa; Chordata; Actinopteri; Salmoniformes; Salmonidae.